AUAUUGACAAUGGGCGAAAGCCUGAUCCAGCAAUGCCGCGUGAGUGAUGAAGGCCUUCGGGUUGUAAAGCUCUGUCGGGAGGGACGAAAAAGCGGAUUAACAAACCGCAUUGACGGUACCUUCAAAGGAAGCACCGGCUAACUCUGUGCCAGCAGCCGCGGUAAUACAGAGGGUGCAAGCGUUGUUCGGAAUUACUGGGCGUAAAGCGCGUGUAGGUGGCGAUGUAAGUCGGGUGUGAAAUCCCUCAGCUUAACUGAGGAAGUGCACUCGAUACUGUGUCGCUUGAGUGUUGGAGGGGAUGGCGGAAUUCCCGGUGUAGAGGUGAAAUUCGUAGAUAUCGGGAGGAACACCUGUGGCGAAGGCGGCCAUCUGGACAACUACUGACACUGAGACGCGAAAGCGUGGGUAGCAAACAGGAUUAGAUACCCUGGUAGUCCACGCUGUAAACGAUGAGUGCUAGACGUCGUGGGUAUUGACCCCUGCGGUGUCGAAGUUAACACGUUAAGCACUCCGCCUGGGGAGUACGGUCGCAAGAUUAAAACUCAAAGGAAUUGACGGGGCUCCGCACAAGCGGUGGAGCAUGUGGUUUAAUUCGACGCAACGCGAAGAACCUUACCUGGGUUCGAACGGCACAGGACCGGUGCAGAGAUGUACCUUCCCUUCGGGGCCUGUGUCGAGGUGCUGCAUGGC
This 690-nucleotide ribosomal RNA is filed under the name uncultured delta proteobacterium. RNAcentral's name for it is "bacterial SSU rRNA". It matches the Rfam family "Bacterial small subunit ribosomal RNA", at positions 359 to 1049 of the family's 1533-position model. Lineage: Bacteria; Deltaproteobacteria. The record is from RNAcentral.